CUCCGCGGAGAGGGCGCCAGAUUCAGUUUUCUGUUUGCCUCUCGUCGGGUGCGGACGUCUGGCGCGUCGCUCGUAUCGUGACCGUUGAUGUGCUGGUGAACUCUUUAGUCAUGUAAAGAAGAUGGAGGGCGGUGUGUGUGCACACAGAUAUGCUUGGAUGUCGUCCCCAUGAUGACAGCGGUGCUGCCACCUGACGUGAUGCUUUCCGACCUGCCUGGUGUGACGCUUUGCAAAUGGCGGCGCCCAUGGGCUGAUGCUAUUACCGAACCUGGACUGACACAUUAAUGAAUUGAAUGUGUAUAGUAAUGACCUGAAUUAUUAAAUGAGUUUAGAAAGUGCA
This is a long non-coding RNA of Ornithodoros turicata, 340 nucleotides long. RefSeq lists it as uncharacterized. NCBI's taxonomy places the organism in Eukaryota, Metazoa, Arthropoda, Arachnida, Ixodida, Argasidae. The transcript is spliced from 2 exons. The record is from RefSeq and is a predicted model, not a curated record.